RNAcentral lists this long non-coding RNA (1544 nucleotides) under Oryzias javanicus (javanese ricefish). Its description in RNAcentral is "lncRNA (ENSOJAG00000004582.1)". The record is from RNAcentral. Lineage: Eukaryota; Metazoa; Chordata; Actinopteri; Beloniformes; Adrianichthyidae.
AUUUUUAUCAUUUAGGCAAAAAUCCGUCUGUAAAACAACAUAAACACAAAAUCACUUUCAGACAUUUGUAUAAACAUCGGUUCAGUUUUAUCUGAAGUUUAGUAAAUGAAUGAAGAUUACAGACAUAAAUAACGUUUUUUCCUUUUGUUGUUUUUAGGAGACUCUCUCGAUGACUUGAGAGGCGUCAGGAGGUUCAGAGAGGAUGGAGAACCGGGCCGUGGAGAAGAACCACAUGUCCUGUCAGACGUGGGUCGGCCAGAACGGCUGGGCCCCGCCUUCGUCUCAGGGACUCCUCCUCAACCCGCACGCUGGCUCCCAGCACCUGGGCCUGGGCCCCCCGGAUCAGGGCUCGCUGUUCGGCCCCCUGCAGGGCUCCGGUCCCGGCUGCAUGGGCGACAUGAGCGCGCUGGCGAGCGCGCAUCACGCCGCUCUGAAGCCCCUCCACAUGAGCGGCGUUCCAACGUCCAACUCGCUGUUCGACAACAUCACAAACCAGGGGGCGUCGCACCUGCUGUCCUUCGCUCAGCAGAUGGCGGACCCCUCGUCUCUGCUGGCGAAAUCUGCCCCCCCACUGACUCUCCCCCCACCAGACCACGAGCUGCCGCCCUGCAGGCCGCAGCAUCUGACCCAGCUCCCGCCCUCGGACCCCCGCAAAGCUUUCCACGCGCCGCUAGCCGGCCACGCUUUAGCUAACGGGCAUCAGGAUCUCGCCGUCAGCUUUUCGGCGUGCGGGCAGCACGCCAUCUCGGCUCCUUUUGGGGCGCAGGGCCUGGAAGCGGGGGGUGUUUCUGGAUUUACCCAAAGCUACGGGGCGUCUGCGGCUCAGGACCACCCCCCGUGGUCGUCUUCACUGCACGGCCGAGGAGUUUUGAACGAGUCCGUCCCAAAUGCCAGAGUUUGUCCCAACAGAAAUCCGACUGAAGAGGAGCCGGCCGCUCCCGUGGCCGGCGGCGACAAAAGCCGCUCCAGCCUUUUGCAGCAGCGCGCGCAGCUCCUCAAGCAGCUGGAAAACAUGAACAGACUGGUAAGUUCUCCAUUGAUUCUCCUGACGGAUGGAAGCUGCUCCUGUGCUUGACUCCCGUGUCCCUCCCGCUCAGCUGGAGUCGUUUCCUCCCGAGGAAGAGGAGGAGGAGGAUGAGGAGCAGCCUUCAAACACGCCGCCUCACGUAAGAUUCCUCUUUUCCCGAGUUCGAUCCCGUCAAAAGCAGAAACUCCUGACCGUCUUCUGCUGACAGGAAUCCUCCAGCGAGAAGACGGAGUCCAGCGGUGAAGCUCAGCGCUUUUCCCCGGAGGCAAAGGUUUUUAUCCGGCCGCCGCGUCCUGAAGGCGCCGCGCCGCUCAGCUGACCUCUGACCUUAUCUUAUGUUUAAAGCUGCGUCCUUCAGAGGAUUUCCCAACUUCAACCUGUGAGGAAGAAAACGGAGCUGAAGACGUUUCACCGCAUCCCGCCGAAGUACGUUUGAAUGUAUUUAAGCAUCAAUGUUCUCCUGAACGUCUGGCUCCACAAAUAUUCAGUCAGAAUCACAAUCUAAGAUCUAGAAGAU